Molecule: ribosomal RNA, 506 nt
Filed under: uncultured Desulfobulbus sp.
Lineage: Bacteria; Pseudomonadati; Thermodesulfobacteriota; Desulfobulbia; Desulfobulbales; Desulfobulbaceae
Description: bacterial SSU rRNA
Rfam family: Bacterial small subunit ribosomal RNA
Source: RNAcentral
GCCACGCCCGCUCAGAAACUCAAAGGAAUUGACGGGGCCCGCACAAGCGGUGGAGUAUGUGGUUUAAUUUCGAUGCAACGCGAAGAACCUUACCUGGUCUUGACAUCCCGGAGACCCUUAGGAAACUAGGGGGUGCUUCCAUCUGGAAGAAUCUGGAGACAGGUGCUGCAUGGCUGUCGUCAGCUCGUGUCGUGAGAUGUUGGGUUAAGUCCCGCAACGAGCGCAACCCUUGCCUUUAGUUGCCAGCAGUUCGGCUGGGCACUCUAAAGGGACUGCCGGUGUUAAACCGGAGGAAGGUGGGGAUGACGUCAAGUCCUCAUGGCCUUUAUGACCAGGGCUACACACGUACUACAAUGGUCGGUACAAAGGGUUGCCAAGCCGCGAGGUGGAGCUAAUCCCAUAAAACCGAUCGUAGUCCGGAUCGCAGUCUGCAACUCGACUGCGUGAAGUCGGAAUCGCUAGUAAUCGUGAAUCAGAAUGUCACGGUGAAUACGUUCCCGGGCCUU